Molecule: long non-coding RNA, 244 nt
Organism: Chiroxiphia lanceolata (lance-tailed manakin)
Lineage: Eukaryota; Metazoa; Chordata; Aves; Passeriformes; Pipridae
Exons: 3
Source: RefSeq, a predicted model, not a curated record
GAGGGGAAGUGAUCCAGGUGAGUACCUGUGAGCAAGGGGUUCUGCCACCUUCUAACAGACAGUCCAAUGCUUCAGGGACCCUGUCGGUAAGAGGUCACUGUCGAGGAGAGAGAAGGUAUGCAGUCUCAGAGGGCUGGAGCCACCUGCCAAUUAGGUUUGAUGGUCUUCAGCUGUCCAUGUGAGUAAUCUCCUAGUACUAUGAGGGUCAUCAAUUAAGGCUCAACCUCUUCCAGUUGCUGGUGCC